Molecule: small nuclear RNA, 166 nt
Filed under: Peromyscus maniculatus bairdii (prairie deer mouse)
Lineage: Eukaryota; Metazoa; Chordata; Mammalia; Rodentia; Cricetidae
Description: U1 spliceosomal RNA (ENSPEMG00000002229.2)
Rfam family: U1 spliceosomal RNA
About the family: U1 is a small nuclear RNA (snRNA) component of the spliceosome (involved in pre-mRNA splicing). Its 5' end forms complementary base pairs with the 5' splice junction, thus defining the 5' donor site of an intron.
Source: Rfam by way of RNAcentral
ACACUUCCCUAGCAGUGGGGAAUACCAUGAUGAUGACAAUGGUUUCCCCAAGGUUCAGCUUGUCCAUUGCACUGCGGAUGUGCUGAUUCCUGUGAUUUUCCUCAAAUAUGGGAAACCCCAGUGCAUAAUUUAUAAGAGUGAGGCACUGUAUUUGCCCUCUCCCAUA